UUACUUUGAAGAAAUUAGGGUGUUCAAAGCGGGCGUCGUCGCUCCGAAUACAUUAGCAUGGGAUAAUGAAAGAAGACCUCCGUCCGCGCUUUCGGGAUGGUUCCUGGGACGGGGGUAAUGAUUGACAGGGGCGAUCGGGGUCGAUCGUACUCGGCGGUCAGAGGUGAAAUUCUAGGACCCGUCGAAGACGAACGAGUGCGAAGGCAUCCGACAAGGGCGUUUUCGUUAAUCAAGAACGAAAGUAGUGGGAUCGAAGAUGAUCAGAUACCGUCGUAGUCGCUACCGUAAACGAUGUCGACUCGGGAUCCGCGGAAGUUACAUGGAUGACUCCGCGGGCACCGCGAGCGAAAGCAAAGUAUUCGGACUCCGGGGGGAGUAUGGUCGCAAGGCUGAAACUUAAAAGAAUUGACGGAAGGGCACCACCAGGAGUGGAACCUGCGGCUUAAUUUGACUCAACACGGGGAAACUUACCCGGUCCGGACGCGACGAGGAUUGACAGAUUGAUGGCUCUUUCUUGAUUUCGUGGUAGCCGGUGCAUGGCCGUUUUUAGUUGGUGGAGUGAUUUGUCUGGUUAAGUCCGAUAACGAACGAGACCUUAAUCUGCUUAAUAGUGCCGGGAACGAGGGGGUCUAGGGGCACUCGGGGGUCGCGUUCGCGCGGCCACCGUGGGUCCGGGCCUCCGUAAGGUCGUUUGCCGGAGGACACUUCUUAGAGAGACACUCAGCGGUAACACAGCUGAUGGAGGUUUAAGGCAAAAACAGGUCUGUGAUGCCGCCAGAUGUCCGGGGCUGCACGCGCGUUACACUGACGUGUUCAACGAGCGACGUUUUCGACCGAGUCCGAAGGGACGAGGCAAGCUCGCAACGCACGUCGUGAUGGGGAUCGUGCCUUGUAACUAUCGCACGCGAACGAGGAAUUCCUAGUAGUGGCGAGUCAUCAACUCGCCUCGAUUACGUCCCUGCCCUUUGUACACACCGCCCGUCGCUUCUACCGAUCGAACUGCUCGAUGAGGACUCGGGACAUCAAGGGCCAACGAUUCGUCGGAGGCACAUGGUGAAACAUGUUCGAAUCUCGCCGUUUAGAGGAAGAAGAAGUCGUAACAAGGUUUCCGUAGGUGAACCUUCGGAAGGAUCAUU
Molecule: ribosomal RNA, 1136 nt
Filed under: Polychaos centronucleolus
Lineage: Eukaryota; Tubulinea; Elardia; Euamoebida; Hartmannellidae
Description: SSU rRNA
Rfam family: Eukaryotic small subunit ribosomal RNA
Source: RNAcentral